GGGUGACACAGUGACAGAGUGAGGGAGCGGGUGACACAGUGACAGAGUUAGGGAGGGAGUGACUAGUGACAGAGAGAGGGAUGGGGUGACUAGUGACAGUCACCCCCCUCACUCUGUCACUAGUCACCCCAUCCCUCCCUCACUUUGCCACUAGUCAUCUCUUCCCUCCCUCACUCUGCCACUAGUCACCCAUUCCCUCACUCUGUCACUAGUCACCCCUAUCUCCCUCCCUCUGUCACUAGUCACCCACUCCCUCACUCUGUCACCAGUCACACC
Pelobates cultripes (western spadefoot toad) is the source of this 276-nucleotide non-coding RNA. The record is from the annotation of a GenBank genome assembly. Lineage: Eukaryota; Metazoa; Chordata; Amphibia; Anura; Pelobatidae.